AACCCCUCUUUCACUUUGCUGAUUAGACAUUUCUUGUCUUCAUUGGCCAUUCAAGUGGGGUAAAAUAACUCCUUUUAAAACCCAAGCGAACGACAUUUGUUGGGCUUGGAUCCUGUCAGAGGAAACACUG
This 130-nucleotide small nucleolar RNA is filed under the name Pelusios castaneus (West African mud turtle). Its description in RNAcentral is "Small nucleolar RNA SNORA27 (ENSPCEG00000017818.1)". It matches the Rfam family "Small nucleolar RNA SNORA27". From Rfam's summary of the family: ACA27 is a member of the H/ACA class of snoRNA that guide the sites of modification of uridines to pseudouridines. The record is from Rfam by way of RNAcentral. Lineage: Eukaryota; Metazoa; Chordata; Testudines; Pelomedusidae.